AAAAAACUUAUUUGAAAUAAAAUUAAAAUAAAAGGGAUAAUUUACAAAUUCUUGAACUUAAAUUGAGGACUAAUGCGCAAGGCGCGCGAAUUCACAAGGACCACAGUUGAAAAUAUCCCUGAUCCCUAAACGCUGCGACAUAUUGCGGACCAAAAUGAAAACGCGCGCAAAUUAUAGGACCGAAUUAAAAAACAAAGUAAAGCAGAUAAGGUGCAAUGGAAUGCUCGCGCGAGGGGAAGGAUCUAACGUGCAAAUUCCCCAUUUUGAACAAAAGGGCGAGGAUCCGGCCUGCCCAUCGGGUCGACAUGCCAAUCUUUAUGGCUGAAAUGGCGUUGUUUUUUAUUCUGGUGCUAAAGGACCCUAUUCCCAUUUAUUUUCUUUCCGAAAACAUAGAUGAAAAAAAAAGGAAUCCCUGCUCUGUUAGGGUUUGUUCCAUUACGCAGCCACUAAACCUCCAUCAACUUGAUGACCAAUGGCGCGGAUGAUGGCCAGAUCUUGACAACGGAGGCCAUAACCAUGGAGAUCUGGUAACCUCGCUCCCUCUUUUCCCUUUUUUUUUUAAAAAAAAACUUGAAUUUUAUUCUGUUCUUUCAAAAAAAUGAAACAAACUUUGAAGAUUUAAACAAAAUUUUAACACCGUUCGACCCUCGCCCACAUCCAUGCAUUUCUGAGACGUUUGGGCUUUCAUCAGCGUCAAUUCGGGUCCCCUUCAUGUGUUCAUGCUAAAAUUGCAAAGCCCAUCAAAAGAAACGAAAAAACAGAUUUGGAAAUCACCUUUCAAUAACUUUUGGCUUGAUUUUUUUAAUAUCCAGUGUGCGUAACCCCUUACAAAAAUCAAAUCUCUUGGCUUUAUAGCCGAAAAGAAAAAUAAAAAAUACAUUUUUUUCUAUUUUUUGUAUUUGCUGUUGUGUUUGUCUCUUCUUGCAGGUACGUGGUAUGCGUGGCGCAUGUACGGGGGCUGUAUGCUAGCAUACAAAGGCGUAGGCGUGGCUGUGGCGCCAAGAGACCGUACGGCGUUGUGGGCUGGGGGCUGCGGCGCUCCUUGCUGCUAUGGUUUCCCUUUUUGAAACCAAAAUUUGGGUGGUUUGGGCCAUUGGGCCAUUUCUGUAUUUGGGCCUUUGGGUUCAUUGGGUUAGAAUUAUUAGGCUAUUCGGGUUAGGUUCAAUUUAGGCCCGAAAAUCUGUAAAUGGACCUUUAAUUUGGACUGUUAUAAUUUGGUUUGGUUUAUUAUUGUUUUGUGUCUUGGUUUUGAUGUGGACCCGGGCAAAUUGACCUGUUUACAAUAUCAAUCUAAAAAAGUGUAUAUAUUGACAUUCAUUGAGCAGUUGAAAAUGUUGAAAGUUCAAAAAUAUAUUCUUUAUAUCCAUAUUAAAAAGUUAAAAAGAAAAUGUUGAAGUUAGGAAAAGACAUAUGUAGGUGUGUGUAUACAUAUGUUAGCUCAAGAAUAUUAGUAAAGCACAUCACAUUGCAAGAAUUUAGUUGGAAAAGAUAUUGUGACAAUAACAUGUUUGACAAUAUUGCAUUUUUCCUUCAGUAAUUUAUUUUAGUAUAAUAAUUUAUUUAGCCUUUUAAUUUUAUAAAAAAAUUAAUUUAGUAUUCCAUUUAAUUUUUUUUACUUUUUUAAUGCCUUUAAAAUUGUGUUUUUUUAUCAAAUCACCUCAAAAAUGUAUAAAAAAGUUAAUAUUACAAAAUAAGUUCCAACUUUAAAAUAGUUAUACAAAUUCGAAUAUUACAAAAAUUAUUCAUCUUUUCUAAUGAUGUCAUUUUUUUAGGGUUCUUCCUUGCCACUAUCGAUAUUUCGACUUUCACAUUAGACAUUUUAAUAUUAUUUAUUAAUAUAUAUUUAUGGAGAAAUCAUUUCCCAAAAUAUAAUCUUUGGGGAAGAUUAAUACAUCGACACCCAUAGGGUAAGUUCAUGAUGAUGUCAAAAUCACCAUGCUAAUCCAUGGCAUGCAUGAUAAGAAGAAAGAACUACAAAACACAUGCAAAGUAUUGAUACUCACAGGUGUUGAGUUUAGGGUUAGGAUGUUUGACCUAGGUAUUUAUUUGCCUAUUAACCCAACCAACCCAAUUAAAUACAGUGGAAGUCAACUCCUAUAGAUGUAGAUUUUCGAUGUGGACUUCCACCUUAUAAAAACCAUUUGUUCCUCCCUUCUCCCCACCCAAAAUCUUCUCAAAUUUUCCAUUUUUCUCAAGCACUUCAACUCUCAAUUUUUUUUCUUAUUUCUUGGCCAAGGGGGAUAGCGGAACAUUGACAACUGCAUUAUAAAUAUGGCAAAAUCUCUAACUCAAUUUUUUUUUACAAUUUUUAAUUUUUUUUAGAAAUGUUUAUAAUUUCUAAAAUUUAAUAUUAUUAUUUUAUGAAUUUUUUACAAUCAUUAGAUCGAGUUCUUUAGAUCUAACACAAUUUACAUUUCCAAUCAUUGCAUUGAGGAAUGCUUGAAGAUUUCCGAUUUAUAUAUGGUAUUUACAAAGGCUAAGUUUAAAAUCCUUCCUCAAUUGGCUCCCACCUUGGUAGAAAGAUGGAGGCUGAAAACAUUUAUAUUCCAUUUUUCAUGGAGAGAAGUGAUCAUUAUGCUCGAAGAUGUCGCUUUAAAAACUACUCUAAUUGAUAGGGAGGCAAUAGUCACAACUAAUGCAAUCAAUUUGGUGUAUGAGUGUGGCCGGUUGUUAGGUUGCGCACCACCAAGAGAGAAACCAGAGAAAGAUUUAAAUGGUGCUAGGUGAAGUGCAUAUAGUUGGAGAACCUUGUCAAACUAGCCCCUUCACCACAUAUAAAUAUGGAUAAGAUGAAUCAAUAUGCCAAAGCUUGGAAGCUCUAGAUGGUACUAUUGGGAUUUUUGUGCAGUUAUUUCAUUAUUAUGCUUGUAAUUUUUCAAACAGAUUGGUCAAAUAAAAUUUCAUAGUUAAAAUUAUUAUUUUCUUAUAUUUGCCUUUAAUAGUUUUUGCUUGAAAAGAAAAAUGAAUAAGAAAAUACUGGAUCAUUGGUUACCUAAGGUUUAAUUAAUACUAAGUUGCAUCAAAAGAAUGUAUUACAAUGCAGGAUUACAACUUAUGUUAAUAGGUAAUCUAUAACAGCCCAGUUUUAAUCAAAUUGGAACAGUGGUUUUGGGACCACAAAUUCGAGGUUAAAAUAUUUAUUUCAUUAUUAUUUUUAGGUUUACAGCAUGAUAGUAUGAUUGUGUGAAAAUUUUGUUAAGAAAUUUAACCGAUUGAGUGCUUAAUUUUUGAAAAAAGACUAAAUAGCAUAAAGCGUGAAAAUUGUGUUUUAUUAGCUAAAGGUGUUAAAUAGCUAUAGAACUUAAAGUGGAGAUCCUUAUUGAGUAACUAGACCACUAUUUGAGUUAGUGGAUGUGCAUGGCUUGGCAUUUUUGAAAAUUUUAAAGUUAGGUAAGGGUAAAAAGGUAAUUAAGUAAAUAAAGACUAAUUUAAUAAAUGAAAUUAUAUCAUCUUCCUCAUUUUAACCAUGCUAGCCGAUUCUUCACCAUUGUAGAAGAGAAAAUUUUUCUUCAAGCUACUUCCUUACAUGUAAGUGAAAAACUAUCACAUUUUUAAUGAUUUUUAUGUUUUCAAGAUUGUUGUAGCUUAAGCUAGCUAAUGAAGGGACUAAUUUGCAAUUUGGUUGAAAGCCUAGGGUUUUUCCAUGAAAGUGUGUUAUUUUUUGUGAGGUUUAAUGGAAGAAAAUGAAACCUUGUUGUGUAAUAAACACUUUUUGUUAAGUGAUUUUUAGUAAAAUUGUCAGAUAAGGGUUAAAUUGUGAAAUGUGAUAAAUUAUGUGGUAAUUGUAUGAAAUAAUGAAAUUUAUGGGCUACUAUGAGUCUAAAUAACAUUUGGCUAUGAUAGGGUGAGAUUGAAUUACACGAAUUUGCAUUUUUAUGAGAUAAGGACUAAAUUGUAAAGAAAUUAAAAUAUUAGGGCAAAAUGGUAAAUUUUCCAUAAUGUGUAUUUUGGAUUAAAUUGAAUAGAGUGAUAGCUAAAUAAGUUAAUUUUGAUUACAUUUAGAUUAAGAAAGGUGAAAUAUGGAUUUAAAUCGGAGAAAGAACAAAGUUUCAAAUUAAUCGACUUAAUUCUCCGUUUUAGCAUCCAAGGUAAGUUCGUAUGUUAAUAAACAUUAUUAUAAUUGUGUUUUAAAUGAUUUUUUUAUUGAAUUGAUUGUGGAUAUGAACUUACAGAAAUAUUCGACGAAGAUUCGACAGAUGAGAAAUCCCGGUUGAACCUUAAGAAUAGAUUAGGAUACGAAUGACAUGUCAUUAGGAGUUACAUUGAUUUGGCUUUGGGCCAUGAUAUUAGCACUUCGGGUGUGAGUUACAUUGAUUUGGCUUCGGGCCAUGAUAUUACCACUUCGGGUACGAGUUACAUUGAUUUGGCUCUGGGCCAUUAUAUUAGCACUUUGAGUGCGAGACUCAUUAAAAUGGCUUCGGGCCAUGAUAUGGGCACUUAGGGUGCAAGACUUUUGAGUAUCCGAUUUCUAUUCCAAAUGGUUCAACUGGUAUAUAGAAGAUGUGAAAUGGUGAGAAAUAGAUACGUAUCGAUACAGGUAUGUACAGAAGACCAUACGAGCAUUGAAACUAAGAAAGUUGUAAACUUAUGAGUAGUUAUGUGAUUGAAUUUAUAUUAAUCUUGUGAUUAAUGUGUUGUUGAAUAUUAUGUUCAUAUUGUUUGAAUGGUAAAUGAUUGCUGAGAUUUGCUUAUUAUUCUCAUACGAGCUUACUAAGCUUUAUAGCUUAUAUUGUUUAUUUUUCUAUGUUUAAUAGUGAUAAUAAAGCUAGCUCAGAUUCGGGAAUCGUCGGAGACUUCAUCACACUAUCUAAUUAUCACUUGGUACUUUUGAAAUUAAGUUGUAGGUCAUAUGGCAUGUAUAGGGACUUUGGUCAUUUUGGUACAUGUGUGGCUAAUGAAUUUAGUCAUUAGAGAUGACUAGUAAAUAUUAAGAGCUUGGUUUUGUAUAUAGCCAUGUAAGUUAACUUGUUUUGGUUAUUUUGGUUGUAUAUAUAUAUAAAUGGCAUUUGUCUUGUGUUGCUUAUUGCUAUGCAAAUGCUUGUGGGAAAUGGUUGAUAAUUGAGAAGAUAUAUGUUUGUGAGUUAGGCUAAUAAUGCAUGUUUGAAAGUGAUCAUAUUGAUGAUUUGAGAUUGUGAGUUUUGGUAUGAAAUUGGAUAGCAUAUUAUGGAAAUUGUAUAGCUUGUGUCUGAUGGUAUGGAAUUAGUAUGAAUUAUGCUUGGUUGAGGUUGGUUUGAAUGCCUAUUGAUACUAUGUUGAGUGCCUUUUUACUUGGUUAGGUUGAUGCAAAUUUGGGUGACAAGAUGGCUUGGUAAAUAGCCUACUUAUGUCCAUACAGCCAAAGACAAGGGCGUGUGUCUCAAACGUGUGUGACACACAGUGGUGGGCAUGGUCAUGUGUCCCCUGGUACUCAAGUAGAAAUCAAGUCAGUAGCUCCACACAGCCUAGCACAAGAGCGUGUGGUUGGCCGUGUGGUGUAAGGCCAUUUCGAGAGGCAUACGGACUGACAUACAGACGUGUGGUCUGGUCGUGUGAGCCAAGUCAAAGAGUUACACGGGAUCGGACAUGGGUCGAGACACGGCCAUGUGAUUCUAUUUCGAACGUCCACACGGCGUAGGACACGGGCGUGUUUUUUGGCCGUGAGUCAUAUGGUCAGGGCACACAGGCAUGUGACCCCUACAUAUUAAUUUUUUUUUAAGUUUUGUUAAAGUUUCUUGAGUUAUCGAUUUAGUCCCGAACCACUUCUAAUGCAUGUUUUGGUUAAAGAUUUAUUAUUCAAAUUGUAUGAAUGUUUGUGUUGUAAAUUUGGUAAUGCCUCGUAACCCUAUUUUGAUGUAGGAUACAAAUUAAGGGUAUUAUAUUUAUUGGUAUCAGAGCUACGGUUUAGUUGAUUCUCGAACUAACGUAGCGUAUGUGAAAGUCUAGCUAUACAUGCCAUAUGCAACCUGUGAUAGGGUGAUAUCUCCUGACAGUUUCAGAUCGUGUUUUCAUAUAGUAAAUAGAUCCCAAUCGAGCUAUAGCUGAUAAUGUUGAAAGUAAUACGCCAGCUCCAGCACAUGGGGCAGCGCAGUCUGAGUCGAGACCUGUAAUUGAGAGUCAAAGAGGAGAGGCUAAAAAAGCCUUUUUCCAAAUGAUGAACGAAUGGUUCACUGAGUUUGUUCGGAUGAAUCUGGCUGCUUAGUAACCUCCACCUCCACCUGUUCCCGAAACGAUUCCAACAGUUCAUCAAGGUUUAGAAUUUUUGCGCUUGAGUAAGCCUCCUGUAGAUAGAAUCCAAAAAUACGGGGCUGAAGAAUUCAGAGCUACUGUUGAUGAUGAUCCUUAGAGAGCCAAGUUUUGGCUUGAGAAUACGAUCAGAAUACUUGAUAAACUUUCUUGCAUACCAACUGAAUGUGUGAAAUGUGCGGUAUCACUUUUGAGAGACACUGCAUGUAAUACCUUGAUAUUCGUGGUACCAAGAGAAAGAGUUACUUGGGAAUUCUUUCAAACUGAGUUCAGAAAGAAAUACGUAAGUGAGCGGUUUAUUGAUCAAAAGCGAAAAGAAUUUUUAGAGCUGAAACAGGGUCGAAUGUCUGUGACUGAAUAUGAGCGAUAAUUUGUGAGACUCAGUAGGUAUGUUCGGGAGUGUGUUUCUACUGGAGAAAUAAUGUGUAAGCGGUUCAUAGAUAGGUUGAAUGAAGACAUAAAACUUUUAAUCGAAAUUCUGGAAUUGAAAGAAUUUGUUGUCUUGGUGGAUAGAGCCUGAGAGCCAGUGUAAGACCAUAUCUGGGACAUGGCAUCUGCAUUGAGACAAGAGCUAUGUAAGACAUGUUUGGGACAUGCAUCGGCCUCGAGAUGUAAGCCAGUGUAAGACAUGCUGGGACAUGCAUCGGCUACAAGAUGUGUCUGUGUAAGACCAUGUUUGGGACAUGGCAUCGGCACGUAUAGAGGUGUCAGUGUAAGACCAUGUCUACGACAUGGCAUCGACACGGAUAUGUGAGAGCUAGUGUAAGAUCAUGUCUGGGACAUGGCAUCGACUUGAUGGAUGAGCCUGUGUAAAACUAUGUCUGGGAAAUUAAUUAGUAUAAUAUUGUUUUAUAACAUAAUAUUCAGGUCAGGUCGAGUCGAGCUCUAGCCAAAAAACUCUUGCCCAAGGCCCGAUCCAUAUAGAAAACAGGCCUUAAAUCUUACCCAAACCCAUUUUUCAGACCUCGUAUUUUGUCCAAACCCUCCCAUUUUUUGGGCGAGUCUUCGAGUCUGGACAAGUGACCCAACUCAUGAAUAGGUUUAAUUUCAAGCCAUGUGUGUCGAAUUAUAUAUAUUGCAUUUAUUAGGGCUCAAUCUACUUUACAUGAUAAAUCCCUAAAUAAAUAUAAACUCGAUAACCAAUGAUAUUAGGGUUUAAUUUCAAAUAAAUUAGAAAUUAUUUAAAACUCAACUCCCUUCAGUGUCUUAGGUAAAGUAUCCAUUACACAAUUAUCACUUAGAUUCUAUUAUGACACUGAAAACUUUAUAAAAUAAAUUUUAAAUUCUAACUCGACACUCAUGAAUUUUGAAAUAUCCUGAAAAAAUUAAAAAAAAACAACUUUCUCAUAAACAUAUAUAAAUAAAUAAAAUUAAAAUAUCAAAUACAAAAGUAAAAAGAAACCCAUAAUCAGCAAGAUAAAAUAUAUAAAAUGUAUGCUUUUGUUUAUACUAAUUUAUAAAGAUAAAUAACUUUUAAUGUUAGUAGUUAAGAUAUAUGCAUCCAAAUUUGAUAUUGUGGAGUUUAAGGAGCACAUUUUAUUUUGCGAAUCUGCUCGUCUGGAAAGUUUGAAUGGUACAUUACACGAACCAAAAUUUAAUUAAAAUUGACAUAAUUAAAAACAACAUGAUUAUGAUUAAUUUACUUGGGAUCCAACUAAAAUUUAAAAUUUUUUGAGGGUGUACGGGCCCAAAUUUUCCCCGGCCUAACAACCCAAAAAAUAAUGAUAAUAUAAUUACAAAUCCAAACCCAUUACAUAUUAAACCAAAGAACCUAAAAUUUGAAGGCCCAAGUGGCCCAGAAUGUUUAAACAUUUGGAAACCCUAACCCUUGCCCCAACUUUCAGCCGCCCUUCCUCCUACCCUCCCACGUGCCGUCUGACAUCUUUCAACCUCCCAUGUCAGCCCCCGUCCCAUCGCCCCUGCACCACCUGCUCCACCGCUCAACCACCUGCAAAACACAAGGAAACACGCAAAGCAGAAAAGAAGCAGCGGAUAACACAAAACAGUAGCAAAACAUUGUAUUUCAUUCGGCUAUAAAGCCAACAAAAAACGAAUGUAACAUGAGAUUUUUCAAUAUUCAAAAGCAGACUUGAGAUCAGUACAAAAAAAAAGAUUGAGCAAUCAAAAACAAAAUACAAGCAAAAGGUUGAGAUCGAUCUCCUGUUUCGUUUUCUACUGUUUUCUAGUUUCUGUUAUUUCAUUUCUAUUUAUUAUUAUUAUUUCUUAUUUUCCUUUACAAAUCUAUUAAAUAAAAUAAAUAAAAAAAAUAAGAAGGAAGAGAAGAAAGCCUCACCGGAAACGCCCGCGGCUUCAUCGUUGGAGACUUUUCCUCCGUCGUCGGGGCUGAAAAGGGGGUGGGGAUCUUUCUUUCAUUUCUUUUCGACUAAAAAGGCUAGGAUCUCGAACUUCUUUUAGAACGUGGCAAAAUGGCCCAUUCUUGUGCAUCGCCGGCCACCGAAUACGGUGGUGGUGCAGCAAUUAGACGAUGACCCCCUUCAGCCGGAAACAAGAGGAGAGGAAGAGAAAGAUGGCUCCCUGUUUUGUUUUUUUAAACUCUAGGGUUAAAAUGAAAUAAAACAAAAAAAUUGGCCCUUUUAUACAUUUACAAAACGACACCGUUUUGGUUAGGGGCCUAGGUGCCUAAACGGCACCGUUUUGAAUACCCGCGCGCCUGACCCGGUUUGAAGGAGUGACCCGUGUGUUUUCGAAGCCCAAAUGGGUUAUUUGCGAUUAUGGUCCCUCCUUCUUUCCUGCGCCAUUUGAUUUAGUCCCGCUUUGCAUUUUCCUUUUUAAAUUUCGCCCUAUUAUUUUAUUUAAUUUCGAUUCGAUCCUUAUUUGUUAUUUUUAUUAUAAUCUAGGUUCUAAAUUAUCUCAAAUUUCGAUUUAGCCCUUUAUUCAUUUAAUUUCAAUUUUUAUAGAAUGUUAUAUUUUAUUUUGUUUAUUCUAUAUUCAUUCACUUAUUUAUUUCUUUAUAUGUUUUUUUUUAAUUUGCAUUGUUAUUCAUUCUGUCAUUCGCAUGUUGCACUAUUGUAAUUAUUAUUAUUAUUACAUGUUUAUCUAUUUGUCUAGUUGUUAUCAUGUCUUUAUUUUUAUACAUAUUUAAAAUUAAAUUGCUUACAUUUUGUUUUUACAUGCUUUACAUAUCUAUUUAUUGAUAUUAUUAUUAUUAUUAUUGUUAUAUUUAUACUUAUAUUUAUUUUAUUUUAAUGCCAUUUUUAUUAUUAUUUCCAUUAUUGUUAUUAUUAUAUAUAUACAUAUCCUUUUAUUACUGUUUUUUUAUAUACACGUAUAUUUUAAAUAUUAUUACUAUUAUUAUUAUGGUUUAACAAAUUAUUAUUACUAACUUCUAUUAUCGUUAUUGUCAUUGUAUUAUUACUAUUAUACUAUUAUUAUAUUUUUUACCAUUACUCUUUAAAUACUAUAUUAUUUCUACUCCUCACUUACAUCAUAUAUUCUUCAUUUAUAUAUAUAUGUAUAUUUUUUAUAUCAUUCCGAACUUUAAAAUAUUUAUUACGUCUAUUAUUACCAUCAAUAUUAUUAUUACUAUUACUAACAUUUUUUAUUAUUUUACGUAAUAUUUAUUUACAACUAGUUUUUUUAAUAUUAUUAGCUUAUUUAUCAUUGUCUUAGCUUAUCUGUUUAUUUAUUUAUUUUAUCUCUGUUUUUAUCGUUAUCAGUCACAUUUGUGUUUAUGCUUAUUUUGUUAUGGCUAUCAAUUUUUUUUUUUGUUAUGCAUUCUUUAUCAUCUCGUUUCAUUAUGAAUUUAGGUUUUAUCCAACCCAAUAUUAAUUCUUCAAUAAAGGUAAUAUUUCGUAUUUGGAAAUUCGAGAAAAUCGUGCCCUAACUUACUGGGUUUCGAUUUUUCUCAUUUAACCUAAAUAACGGAAUAUUCUUUUAAAAAAUCACAAUAUGGUUUUUGAAUAAGAAAUACUUAUUCUCGGAGAUAGAGGUGUUGUGCCCUAACUUAUCGGGUAUGACAUUUUGUCACAUCGAAAUAAGAAUUUGUUUUAAAUAAAGGCAAUAUUCGGUGUUUGAGAAUUCGAGAAGACGUGCCCUAACUUACUGGGUUUCGAUUUCUCUCUUUUACUCUAAAUAAUCGAAUACCCUUCUAAUAAGUUAAAAUACGAAAAUUUUAUAUAAAAGGCAAGCUCGCUCUCGAAAAUUCAAGAUGUCGUGUCCUAACUUACUGGAUGUGACAUUUUAUGUUUUGAGACGAGAAGGUCUUCAACAUUUGAGCAUUUUUUUUGCAAAGACGGAUCGUAUUUCAAAGUUCUUUCAAGUUUUCUAAUCUUCGAUACUAAGAUACUAAUUAAUCAACUAGGUACCAAUUUUGGGCGUAUCGAGGGUGCUAAUCCUUCCUCGUGCGUAACUGACUCCCGAACCUGUUUUCUUGAUUUGCGUGGACCAAAAUCGUUGUUUAAAUAAAUCAAAUCAUUUAUUAAAAACAACCACUUUUACGAGGUGACCCGAUCACACCUCAUCAAAAAGGAUUGGUGGCGACUCCUCUAUUCGUUUUUGUUUUCAAAAUUUAAGUCGAUCCCCUUUUUUUCAAAAAAUGGUUACGACAGCUUGGCGACUCUACUGGGGACCCAAAUAAGAGAGUCAAGCCAUAAGUUGAUUAACUUUUGUCUUUUUGUCGAAAAUUAAAAAUUUGAUUUUGAUAUACGAUCCUUUCAUUUCAUUUCACCCGUUUUUCUUGCGGUUUUCAUCAUUUUAUUCUUAUUUUCUUUAAUCGUUUCGAGUUUUUAUGCAUAUAUCCUCGCAUAUUGUAUUGCAUGACCGUUGUGGUCACAUCCGUUUAAGUGGGAGUGAGAAACUACUCAUUCGUGAGGUUUUCACCUCCGUGUAGGAUAGUGGAUCGCUUUCGGGAUACAUCCGUACCUAUGUCUUUAUGAGAUUUUCAUCUCCGUGCAGCCAUAGGGAAAUGUAUUUCCCUGAACUGAACUCGGUCUGUAUGAGCUUAUAAUGGGCGAAGAUCAAGGAAUCUGUUGGUUCAGGUACCUUUACUCUAGAACCGAGCCACAUGUAGAGAGACCUAGGAGCCCACCCUAGGUAGAGCCACUCCGAACCCCUAGUGGUCACCCGAAUUGCUUUAUUUGUUAUUUAUUUAUCCUGCAUUAACGUGUUUUGUUUUUGUUUUGUUUAUAAUUGCAUUGCAUUACAUCAUCAUAGGAAGGAGGUGUUGAUUCAUAUUUGAUUGCUAAAUAGAACAGUUUGUCAUAAAAUAACAAAUUUUUUGAUAAAGUGGAUUAUAAUACGGUUGUCUACAUAUGGUCCAAGUAAACACAAUGAAAGAAGGUUGAUAGUCCAUGAAGAAAUACAAAACUUUGCUUCAUUGCCUGAGGAUGCAAGCCGACAAAGAUUGUUCGAGAGCCGUCAUGUCUUAAAGAAGCUAACAAGUAUCGUGGGGAUAAGUGAGCAACGAGUCGCAGCCUGGAUCAAACAAAAGGAGUUAAUGGAGACAUCUUUUAGAAAAUUCGCAAGACUUGACCAUAAGAUCCGGAUAUGAAGAGGAAGAAAGGUGUCUUCACUUGGAAUAUGAGAGAAAGGCCGUAUAUGUAAUCCGUUUUAUGUAAAGGAAUUUGUUUUCUAGAAAAGUUGUUCUAAUGAAAUUGAAUUCAGAAUCAAUGCAUUCCUUUCUUUUGCAUUCAUUUCAUGCAUUUGCAUUGCAUUGCAUUAUUUGCAUUAGACUUUUCCUAAAAGAACCCUAAUUAGGUGAAAUUAUUUCAGUUAGCCUGGGAACCAAAAAAGGUCAAACGACUAGGCAUCUUUACGGUACACGGAAAAGGAUAAAAGAUAUGGAUCAAAGAUUGGAAAGACUUGAAAAACUUCAAAAAGAAAUGCAAGACCAAUUACAACUGCAAAUGCAAGAGCAACUGGCGAAGAUCCAACAAGAUAUAAGGGACCAAAUGCUAGAGGCCCAAAGGAAUACGAUGAAUCAAUUGUCCCAAUUACUGACUAAGGGGCUAGGAAAAUGAAACAACUCCAUGAUCAAUACUGGGGAGGACAAUGAGGAACCUUUAUACCCUCUGGGUUUCACCCCGAUAAAUGAUCAGACAUGUCCGCAAGAUGUACCUAUUGCUAUUAGAACACAACAACAUCAGGUCGGUACCUCGGCACCCAUGAACUACCCGACGGGCUCAGGUUCCAAUCUAAGGAACAGUCCAAUCAAUCAUGAAGUUCCUGAUUUAGACGAAAUGGAAGGAAUAGAAAAAGUAAAGGUUGAACUGGCAAGACAACUCGAAGAUCGAUACAAGUGGUUGGAAGAAAAACUUAGAGUGAUGGAGAAUGCUGAUUACCAUCGCGGGGUCGAUGCCAAGGAUCUGAGUUUGGUCCCUGAUCUAGUACUCCCGCCAAAAUUUAAGACUCCAGAGUCUGAAAAGUACAAUGGGACUAGUUGUCCUGAAGCUCACAUCACAAUGUUCUGUCGAAGGAUGACAGGAUAUGUUAAUAAUGACCAAUUAUUAAUUCAUUGCUUCCAAGACAGUCUGAUUGGGUCAGCAACUAAAUGGUACAAUAAAUUAAGCCGUGCUAGAAUCAAUUCAUGGAAAGACUUAGUACGGGCUUUCAUGAAGCCGUAUGACCACGUGACUGACAUGGUGCCCGACAGAAUUACACUACAGAAUAUGGAAAAGAAGCAAAGUGAGAGCUUCAGGUAAUAUGCCCAAAGAUGGAGAGAGGUAGCGACGCAAGUCCAGCCGACUCUUCUGGAAAAGGAGACCAUGAUGCUUUUCAUCAAUACUCUGAAAGCCCCGUUCAUUACCCAUAUGUUGGGAAGCACUACCCUAAGCUUCUCAAACAUAGUAAUGUCCGGCGAGAUGAUUGAAAAUGCAAUCAGGAGCGGGAAGAUAGAUGUAAGAGAAAGCGUUAAAAGGUCAACCUAGAGAAACAAUGAAAAUGAAGUGAACAUUGUGAGCAUGCCUUCCAAAUUGCUCAACAUAGGCCAACCGAGGACUGUAACCACUAGCUAUCAAGGCCCUUCGAGGUAGGAAUCUAACUCAAGGUCGAAUAUAAAAAGGCUCCGGUUUACACCCAUCCCAAUGUCAUAUAAGAAGUUGUAUCAAAAUCUCUUUGAUGUGCAUGUUGUGUCUCCGUCUUACUCGGAACCUGUACAACCUCCGUUCCUAAAAUGGUAUAAUGAGAAUGCUCAAUGCGAGUACCAUGCAGGAAUAACGGGGCACUCAAUCGAAAACUGCACUACAUUUAAAAAAUUGGUCAAAAAGUUUAUUGAAAUGGGAGUUGUGAAGUUUGACAAUUCCUCAGAACCAAAUCGCUCUGACAAUGAAGUAAAUAUGAUUUGAAAGUGGGGGCAAGAGAGUUGCAAUACCUUGAACAAGUCAAAUGCCUGGAAGGAAUAUCGGGGAAUCUAAAUGACUCAUCCGAAGAAGGAAUCGGGGAAUAAAAGUUUUCAAACCCUUGCAUUACUUGGAAGUGUUUUGAACAAUGGGAUUGUGGAAGAGAUCCCUUUAUUUUUAGAGUUAAUCUAGAGUAAUAUUCAAAACACGCUUGUUGCUUUAAGCCUAGAAGCAAUUAGACCCCUUUUGUGAAAUAGGCUUGUGUCCUAAGUCUUUAUUUCAAUAAAAUGCAUCUUUUUGAGCAAAUAUUCUUUGAUUUCAUAUUGUACAAAUAAUAGUUCUUAGAUUUAUUUGUUCUUUGGACUUUCUUUCAAAUAUUCAUGUAUACUUCAUCCAUGAUCAUACCAUACAAAUAAACAUCCUUAGAAUCAUUUAUUCUUUGUCAUCUGCCUUCAAUAAGUCCCCAGAUAUCAAUGACAUGAGCAACGUUACUACUGACCCAGAAUCUCCUUUCAAACGAGAUAUGAAUCUUGAGGGAUCUCAGGACUUGGAAGAUAACAGAGGCUAUAACAUAUCUCCUCAUGUGUUAAGGAUGGUAGAGUAAGAUGAAAACAGAUCCUACCUUACAAAAGUCAGUGGACAGUAAGCCUAAGACAAGAGAAAGAGGCAAAACAUUGGAGCCUGCAUCACUACAAAGACAAAGUGAGACAUCAUUGAAUUGUUCCAAGAAUUCAAAGAUGUUUUCACAUGAUCGCAUUAAGAUAUGCCAAGGCUACUAAGGCCUAUGGAUGCUAAAAAGGGUUCAUAUGAGUGUUAGAAGGACACAUGUUUAUGGUCUUACAUUAGCCAGACUAAUCGUAAGGUUCGGGUACUGCUGAUCUACUAUGGAAGGGGAUUGUAUCAGUCAAACCAUGAAAGCCAAACGGAGGAAGACAAGACUUUUAUGCCUCCUCAAUUUCUUCACAAAUUUUCUAUAUGUGGGGCACAGAUAUUAUGGGGGCUGAUCUCGUCAAAAGCUUUUAACUGAUACUGAUUCAUCUUUGGGGUCGUCGAUUACUUUGUGAAAAGGGUGAAAGUCAUUUCAUAUGCCAAUAUUACUAAGUCGACAGUCAUCAAAUUCCAAAAAAAAAAGAGGAAAAAAUGUGCCAACAAAGAAUGCCAGAAAAGAUAAUGUCUAACACGACUGUACAAUAUCAAAAGUUUGCAGUCUGUGCAAAGAUUAGGUGCUAUAUUGUAGUGCGGCAAAGGCAAAAAAAAAGGAUAAUGGGGAAGAUGACCGAGACUUGUAAAGAUUGGCAUAAGAAGUCAUCAUUUACCCUCUAUCCUCAUCAAACGUUGGCCAAGACCUUCGCCAGGGCAGCAUAUUUCAUUAGUCUAUGGGAUAAAAAUGGUUUUUGUAGAAGAGAUUCAUUGUCUUUGAGUGUUGACUGAGUUAAAUAUUGGAUAAGGAAAAAUAGAUCCAAUCUCGAUAUGAUCUGUUGAAUUUGAAGAAGAGAGGCUGAGGGUUAUCCGUCAUGGUCAGAUGUACCAAAAGCGAAUGAUGCGAGCUUACAACAAAAAGGUUCAUCCCAGAGAAUUCCACGAGAGAGACUUGGUAUUGAAAAAGAUUCUGCCCAUGCAAAAAGAUUUCAAAGGAAAAUGGAUGCCUAAUUGGGAAGGACCUUAUGUAGUAAAGAAGACCUUUUCUGGAGGAGCAUUGAUAUUGGCCGAAAUGGAUGGCAAGACUUUACCCAAUCCUGUGAAUUCAGAUUCGGUAAAGAAAUAAUUCUCCUAAAAGAAAAAGAAAAAAAGGGGAGAGGCCAAGGUGAAAACUCGCAAAGGGCACCUUGAGACCAAAGGGGAUUUGAGUUGAAAACCCGAAAAGGGCGGCUCAAAUUUGGAUCAAAGUGGGGCAUACAACAGUCUUACUAUGCCUGAAUUAACAAUGAAGGAGUAUGCUACAUCUUGGGGCAUCGACAAAGUACUCCGGAUCCCCUAAACACAUAUUGAGAUCAGAAGGGUCCUCAAGAAGUUGGUACAGAGAAGCUCAAGCUGCGAUAUCUAGGGCGCCUAGUUUUUCAUUCUACCCAUUUUGAAUUUGCUAUAUUUGAUUAACUUAUUCAUUUUAAGUUAAUUUCCUUCUUAUUGCAUUUGCAAUCUUUAAUUAAUUUAUUUAUUUUGAGCUAUGCUCCCAAUCAAUUUCCUUCUUGUCCAUUGUUUUGAUCAUUUUCGAGCAUUUUGCAUUGAAAUAACGAUUAAUGGACCAAUAAUACUUUCAUAAAAGAAGUUUUACAUAUUACACUGGAAGUUUCUAAAUAAUACAAGAACCUGAAACAGGACUAUUGUUCAGAACUCACCAAGCCUAAGGGUUAGAAAUAUUUGAGCCUAAAUUAAAAUUAUCUCAGUAGGUUUUCUGUCAAAGAUAUUGGUUGAACCAAAAGACAAGACAUUUUGUCUGUGAUACAAUCUCAACAAAUAACGAGCAAUGUCAACCUAAGUGUAAAAAAGGGUCACUCUCGGGAAAAGAAAAAUGAUACCCUGCAUUCAUGCAAAUAUCAUGCAUAUACAUCUGGUCAUUACACCCAGGGAAUAGUGUAACAGAUUAAUCGAUUGAAGAUGAUACAAAUCCUACACCUUUGAGUUGCAGCAGGAUGGAUGGAAGAAACCAAAUGUUAUUCCUCUGAAAUUGCAGUAGGAGGCACAAACUUUAUGUCCCAGAAGGUACAGUGGAAGGGACUCUGAAAUUACAGCGGGGCAAGCUUGCUGAGCAAAAUGUGAUUGUUUCUUUGACUUUUCUGUCAAGAAUACCCGCCGAACAAGAUGACAGCGUAAUACAUCAGUGAUAAUGUCCUGAUGAACAACGAACGAUGAUACCUUAAGCCUUUUUUUUUUUUUAAAAAAAAGGAGCUCAUGACAUUUCUACAUUCAUAUAAUAACACAUCUAGUUAAGAGCAUUUGAUUCAUUUCGAUCAUAGCAUCCUAAUUAUUUGACAUAAGCAUCACAUUUAGUUAGGAGCAUUUGAUUCAUUUCAAUCAUCGCAUCCUAAUUAUUUGGCAUAAGCAUAGAUACAUGAAACUGAUUUUACAGAUCAUGUUCCUCAGAGGUUGAUGGGCCUUAAACCCCUAAGCAGUAGGGUAACAGGCUGAAUUUACAGAUCUUAACCCCCUAAGCAGUAGGGAAACAGAUCGGGCUUGAUGAGCUUUAAGCCUCUAAGCAGUAGGGUAACAAGCUGAAUUUACAAAUCUUAUCUCCCUAAGUAGUAGUGGAGUAGAUCGAAGACUGUGAACCUUAACCUCCUAAGCAGUAGGGUAACAGGCCGAUUUACAGAUCUUAUCUCCCUAAGCAGUAGUGGAGUAGAUCGAAGACGGUGAGCCUUAACCCUCUAAACAGUAGGGUAACAGGCUGAAUUUCCAGAUUUAACCCCCUAAGUAGUAAGGAAACAGAUCGAAGAUGAAGGACCUUAACCCCUUAAACAGUAGGGUAACAGGUUGAAUUCCCAGAUCUUAACCCCCUAAGCAGUAGGGAAACAGAUCAAAGGUGACAAGCCUUAACCCCCUAGGCAGUAGGGUAACAGGCUGAAGAUAGACAGUUCUUAACCCCCUAAGUAGUAGGGAAACAGAUCAAAAGUAAUGGUUUUAAACCCCUAAGCAGUAAGGAAACAGAUCGAAGGUGAAGGGCCUUAAACCCCUAAGCAGUAGGGUAACAGGCUAAAUUUACAGAUCUUAACACCCUAAGCAGUAGGGAAACAGAUCGAAGGCGAUGGGCCUUAAACCCCUAAGCAGUAGGGUAACAAGCUGAAUUUACAGAUCUUAUCACCCUAAGUAGUAGGGAAACAGAUCGAAGUUAUGAAUCCAUUCUCCCUAAAAUGGCACUAGAGAGGCUCGAAACCACUAUUCGUAUCUCCUUGAAGUUUCAACGGAUCUCUUCUCCUUGAAAUGGCGUUGGAGUGGCUCGAAGCCACAACAGAUCUCCUUGAAGUUUUAGCAGAGAAGAUUGAAGUCACAAGUCUUAUCUCCCUGAAGUUGCAGUGGAGUAGACUGAAAAUAGCGAAUCUUAUUUCCCUGAAGUUGCAGUGGAAUAGAUUAAAGCUAUAAAUAAAUAGAUCUUAUCUCUCUGUAGUUACAGUAGAGCAGAUCAAAAUAAACCUUAUCUCCUUGAAGUUGCAGUAGAGCAGGUUGAAGUCACUAGUCUUAUCUCUCUGAAAUUGCAGUGGAGCAGACUGAAGAUAGCAAAUCUUAUUUCCCUGAAGUUGCAGUGGAAUAGAUUGAAGCUAAAUUACAGAUCUUAUCUCUCUGAAGUUGUAGUGGAGCAGAUCAAAACAAAUCUUAUCCCCUGAAGUGCAGUGGAGCACAUUGAAGAUACUUGAAGAAAAGAAACGCUAAGAGAGGUCGAGACUCGGCAGGUCUCGGCAAAUUUGACCCUUUUAUGGUCUUUGCUCUAUUCCCGUUACACGAAAAUGAACAAAGAGAGGCAGUUGUACGGGCCCAAAUUUUCCCGGGGCCCAACAACCCAAAAAAUAAUGAUAAUAUAAUUACAAAUCCAAACCCAUUACAUAUUAAACCAAAGAACCUAAAAUUUGAAGGCCCAAGUGGCCCAGAAUGUUUAAACAUUUGGAAACCCUAACCCUUGCCCCAACUUUCAGCCGCCGUUCCUCCUACCCUCCCACGUGCCGUCUGACAUCUUUCAACCUCCCAUGUCAUCCCCCGUCCCAUCGCCCCUGCACCACUUGCUCCACCGCUCAACCACCUGCAAAACACAAAGAAACACGCAAAGUAGAAAAGAAGCAGCGGAUAACACAAACAAUAGCAAAACAUUGUAUUUCAUUCGGUUAUAAAGCCAACAAAAAACGAAUGUAACAGGAGAUUUUUCAAUAUUCAAAAACAGACUUGAGAUCAGUACAAAAAAAAGAUUGAGCAAUCAAAAACAAAAUACAAGCAAAAGGUUGAGAUCGAUCUCUUGUUUCGUUUUCUACCGUAUUCUAGUUUCUGUUAUUUCAUUUCUAUUUAUUAUUAUUAUUUCUCAUUUUCCUUUACAAAUCUAUUAAACAAAAUAAAUAAAUAAAUAAAAGAAAAAGGAAGAGAAGAAGGCCUCACCGAAAACGCCUGCAGCUUCAUCGUCGGAGAUUUUUCCUCCGUUGUCGGGGCUGAAAAGGGGGUGGGGAUCCUUUCUUUCAUUUCUUUUCAACUAAAAAGGCUAGGCUCUCGAACUUCUUUUGGAAUGUGGCAAAACGGCCCAUUCUUGUGCAUCGCCGGCCAUCGAAUACGGUGGUGGCACAGCGGUUAGACGAUGACCCCCUUCGGCCGGACACAAGAGGAGAGGAAGAGAAAGAUGGCUCCCUGUUUUGUUUUUUUAAACUCUAGGGUUAAAAUGAAAUAAAACAAAAAAUUUGGCCCUUUUAUACAUUUACAAAACGACACCGUUUUGGUUAGGGGGUCUAGUUGCCUAAACGGCACCGUUUUGAAUACCCGCGCGCCUGACCCAGUUUGAAGGAGUGACCCGUGUGUUUUCGAAGCCCAAAUGGGCUAUUUGCGAUUAUGGUCCCUCCUUUUUUCCUGCGCCAUUUGAUUUAGUCCCGCUUUGCAUUUUCCUUUUUAAAUUUCGCCCUAUUAUUUUAUUUAAUUUCGAUUCGAUCCUUAUUUGUUAUUUUUAUUAUAAUCUAGGUUCUAAAUUAUCUCAAAUUUCGAUUUAGCCCUUUAUUCAUUUAAUUUCAAUUUUUAUAGAAUGUUAUAUUUUAUUUUGUUUAUUCUAUAUUCAUUCACUUAUUUAUUUCUUUAUAUGUUUUUUUUUAAUUUGCAUUGUUAUUCAUUCUGUCAUUCGCAUGUUGCACUAUUGUAAUUAUUAUUAUUAUUACAUGUUUAUCUAUUUGUCUAGUUGUUAUCAUGUCUUUAUUUUUAUACAUAUUUAGAAUUAAAUUGCUUACAUUUUGUUUUUACAUGCUUUACAUAUCUAUUUAUUGAUAUUAUUAUUAUUAUUAUUGUUAUAUUUAUACUUAUAUUUAUUUUAUUUUAAUGCCAUUUUUAUUAUUAUUUCCAUUAUUGUUAUUAUUAUAUAUAUACAUAUCCUUUUAUUACUGUUUUUUUAUAUACACGUAUAUUUUAAAUAUUAUUACUAUUAUUAUUAUGGUUUAACAAAUUAUUAUUACUAACUUCUAUUAUCGUUAUUGUCAUUGUAUUAUUACUAUUAUACUAUUAUUAUAUUUUUUACCAUUACUCUUUAAAUACUAUAUUAUUUCUACUCCUCACUUACAUCAUAUAUUCUUCAUUUAUAUAUAUAUGUAUAUUUUUUAUAUCAUUCCGAACUUUAAAAUAUUUAUUACGUCUAUUAUUACCAUCAAUAUUAUUAUUACUAUUACUAACAUUUUUUAUUAUUUUACGUAAUAUUUAUUUACAACUAGUUUUUUUUAAUAUUAUUAGCUUAUUUAUCAUUGUCUUAGCUUAUCUGUUUAUUUAUUUAUUUUAUCUCUGUUUUUAUCAUUAUCAGUCACAUUUGUGUUUAUGUUUAUUUUGUUAUGACUAUCAAUUUUUUUUUGUUAUGCAUUCUUUAUCAUCUCGUUUCAUUAUGAAUUUAGGUUUUAUCCAACCCAAUAUUAAUUCUUCAAUAAAGGUAAUAUUUCGUAUUUGGAAAUUCGAGAAAAUCGUGCCCUAACUUACUGGGUUUCGAUUUUUCUCAUUUAACCUAAAUAACGGAAUAUUCUUUUAAAAAAUCACAAUAUGGUUUUUGAAUAAGAAAUACUUAUUCUCGGAGAUAGAGGUGUUGUGCCCUAACUUACCGGGUAUGACAUUUUGUCACCUCGAAAUAAGAAUUUGUUUUAAAUAAAGGCAAUAUUCAGUGUUUGAGAAUUCGAGAAGACGUGCCCUAACUUACUAGGUUUCGAUUUCUCUCGUUUACUCUAAAUAACCGAAUACCCUUCUAAUAAGUUAAAAUACGCAAAUUUUAUAUAAAAGGCAAGCUCGCUCUCGAAAAUUCAAGAUGUCGUGUCCUAACUUACUGGAUGUGACAUUUUAUGUUUUGAGACGAGAAGGUCUUCAACAUUUGAGCAUUUUUUUUACAAAGACGGAUCGUAUUUCAAAGUUCUUUCAAGUUUUUUAAUCUUCGACACUAAGACACUAAUUAAUCAACUAGGUACCAAUUUUGGGCGUAUCGAGGGUGCUAAUCCUUCCUCGUGCGUAACCGACUCCUGAACCUGUUUUCUUGAUUUGUGUGGACCAAAAUCGUUGUUUAAAUAAAUCAAAUCAUUUAUUAAAAACAACCACUUUUACGAGGUGACCCGAUCACACCUCAUCAAAAAUGAUUGGUGGCGACUCCUCUAUUCGUUUUCGUUUUUAAAAUUUAAGUCGAUCCUUUUUUUUCAAAAAAUGAUUACGACGGAGGGUUUUAAUGAAAAUUUUUAAAAUUUUACAAAAAUUUAAUGAAUUUUUUCAAAAACUUGGAGGUUAAUUAAAAUUAAAAGUAUAAUUAAAAUGUUGGGUGGAGGCGAGGCCCCUUAGGUCUCAAAAAUCAUCUGCCUCUACUAGAAUUUAAAUUUACUAUUUGCCAAUUGCCAUUGUCUUGUUGCCUUUUAACACCAGAUAUUUGCAGAACUUGAUGCUUGCUUUGAAUUAGGAUUUUUUUUUUUAAAUUAAUUGGAAAAGGUUUGCAAUUUGGAGGUUGAGAUAUUUUUUUUUCUCUUCAAGUGUAAAGCUUAAAAGAUGUUGUGUGAAGUUUAUAGAAUAAAACUGAACAAAUAUAAGAUUUUUGUCAAACAAAAUAUAAGUUAUAAACAAUAAAUAAAUAAAAGAAUCAAAUUGGAUCUAAGAGGUGGGUUGUGUCUUAUUUGAGGGUUAAUCCAUGUUUAAAAUUACAAAUAUAAUCUGGCAUCUUCAAGUUUAUAAAUUUAAUUUGGGGAUGGUUAAUAUAAAUUUUUUCUCAUGAAUUUUGCAAUUAGGUUUAGGUAUAAUGACUGAUUUAGUCCUCUAAUUUUAUAUUAAAAAAAUUAUUUUAACUAUUCAUUUAAUCUUUUAUCUCAUUUACUCUUUGAACUUGCUUUAUUUGUUAAAUCAUCAUAAAAAAGAAUGAAAAAAAUUAAUGUUUGUUAAUUUUAUUGAUAUGGCAUUUACAUCGUAGUCCACCUGCAUGUCAUGUUACCAAUUAAUUAAAUUAAAAAUAUAUUUUUAUAAUUUUUAAUAAAUUUAAUAUUUUUUAUUUUUUUAUUUUUUAAAAAUUAAUUAUUUGUUGAUUUGACAAUUCACGUGGCAUCAACAAAAUUCACAAAUGUUAAUUUUUUCGUCUAGUUUGAGGUGAUUUAACAAAUAAUAUAAAUUUAAGGACUAAAAGAGACGAAAAAUUAAAUAGUUUGGUACCUGUACUUUUUUUUUGUCCAUUUUGAUAUCUAAACUUGACAAUUAAGUCAAAUUUGAUCGUGAAUUUAAAAAAAAAUGAAAAUAUUUAGAUGAUAUGAUAUAAUUUUAAAAUGCUACAUGAUGAGAUUUUUAUAUUUUUUACACUUUAGGAGUUAAAAUAAUUUAGGUGUAGCAAAGUUAAUAAAAGAAUAUAGAUACCCUAUGUAUAUCUAAUUAUGAAAUUCAAAGGCAGAAAUUGCAUUAACCCAUUUAAUUUGGUCCCUGAUGUCAGCAGCUUUAUGAAUUUAUUACAGUGAUUUCUACUUUUAUAAGUACAUCAUUCCACGAAUGCAUUUCCGUGGAUUCCUAUUUGGGUUUUCUUCAACUUGUCAAUAUUUCCGUUUCAUGGGUGGAGUGUUGUAUUUUUAUUUAUUAUUCCCAAUCAAAUAUCAUUUUUCAUUAUCGAUUAAGUUUUAUUUUAAUUGGUAAUAAUAUUAUUAUUAUUCGUCGCAAUAAUUUGGAAGGCGUAAAUUUAAAGGUACAUAAACAUAUAAUAUUAUGUACUUUACGGUUAAGAAAUUAUGAGUAUGUUUAAACAUUAUAUCAAAAAAUAUUAUUUUUCAUUGUUUAUAAAUUUUAAAAAUUAUUUUAUAUUCAUAUUAAGACAUAUCAAGUAUCAACCAAGUUCUAAAGUCUUGAUUAGGUCCCAAUUUAAACAAAGUUUAAGAAUAGAGAUAGCAAAGGAGUAGGGCAAAGGUGGUUGCCUAAUCCACCACCUCUCCAUUAUUAGUACACUCUUAUUUUUAUCAUUUGUCUCCACCUAUUAUGGAUAUAUAAUUUUAAAAAUUAUUAUCACCUCUAAAGAUAUUAGAUACAUUCAUUUGCGCCACACCUUACCCUACCUUAGUUUGAUAUUUGCUCAUUAUUUAUAAAAUUUUCAAUUUGCUUCAUUGGAGGUGGAGCAAGCAAUUAGUAUAACUAAUUCAUACCUAAUGUCCAAUAAAAAAUAUGGUAUACCUUACCUAGCAUUCACUUUUCAAAAAAAAAAAAUUAAAAUCAAUUGCAUGGUUUGAGUUUUAUUAUCCCUACUUAUAAAAAAAAUGAAAAAGUUUAAUAUAAUAUUUAGUACUUGAACUUGACACUUUUUCCUAGUUAGGUACCUAAGUUGUUUUUAUCCAAUUUGGUACAUGAUCCAGACACUUUUUCUUAAUUUGGUACCUAAGCUUUUUUUGUCUAAUUUGAUACCUAAACUUGUCAAAUCUUAUACAAAUUAUUCCAAAAUCCUAACAAUGUUAUUUUUUAUAAGGUGACAAAAAUAAUUAAUGUAUGGCCGACAUGUAGUAGAUGACAUGAUAUUUCUUUUUGUAUUUUAAAUGUUCAAUUACUUUUACUUUUGUUUUAACAUAAAGAUUUUUUUUUUUGGAUGUUUGAGACUGUUAUUUUCUUCUUCAAUAUCCAUUCAUUAAGCAUAGCUCAAAGCACAAUUUUUGAACAUGGAUUUCCUUUAAUAUUGAUGAUAUUUUUUCUGGAAUUUAGGACUUUGUGAAAACUAGGUCAUGCUUUAAGCAUGCGUCCCUCUUGAAUCAUUUUUGUCAUUAAUAGUAAAAAGAGUUUUAGCCCAAAUGAAAAGUAAAAUUUCAGUCAUUAAAAAGAGUUUAAUGAAACAGAGAAAACUACAAAUAAAUGCAAAUCGUUUCAGUCAUUAAAUUCCAUAUCAUCUACCAUAUGUUGGUUGUAUAUCAAUUACUUUUAUCCCCUUGUAAAAAAAUAACAUCAUUAGUGUUCUGGAGUAGUUUGUAUAACAUUUGACAAGUAUAGGUACCAAAUUGGACUAAAAAAAUGUGAAGUAGCAUUUUAAAAAAAGAAAAAGAAAAAGAAAGAGCACCAAAUUAACAAAAUUGUUAAGUUUAAGAACCAAAUGUUAUAUUAAGCCAAAUGAAAAAGAAUAUAAUGCAUUGAAUUGAGGGUUAAUAUAUAUAGAGGUACCUGAAUUUGUCAACUUAUACCCACUUGGUACCUAAGGGUUUUUUUUUUUUAACCUAAUUGAUACUUAAACUUGAAAACCGUAAACCAAAUUGGUACUUUUUAUUGAUACUUGACUAACACAAUUAAAUUUUGGACUAACAACUAAUAGAAUAUUAACAUGUGUCAAAAUUUUAAAAGAAUUAUUUUUGAAAAUUCGUAAAUUAUAAAUUUUUAUAUUUUUAUUUUUCAUGCAUAAUGAACCUAGAUAAAAAUAUAGUUUUAAAAACAACAAUAUAAAUUUUUCAUGAUUGUCCGUUUAUUCUGAAUGUUUUUUAGUCGGUUUUUUUUUAUAAUUUUAAAAACAAUAAUAUAUAUAUUUUUUAAAAAUACACUACUAUAUUUUAUAAUUUUUUUCUGUUUUUAUUUUUUAUAUAUAUAUUUUAGAAGUUUUCUUGAAUUUUAGGUUUUAAUUUUAAGUGUACAAUGAAUUUAGACAAAUGAUUAUCUAAAUACAAAUUAAUCAGACAACUUGUCCAACUUCAUCUUGAACAUGUACUUCUCUAGUGCUUUUAUAUUUUUUUUAUAAUUUUAAAAAUAAUAAUAUAAAAUAUUUUUAUUAAAUUCUAUGUUUUAAAAUAAAUUCCAGUUUUAUUAAUUAAAGUUUUAAAUUUAUUUUAAAAUCAACAAUUUAUUUUAAAUUUAUUACUUAAGAAAGAAAAAAAUAUUUUAAAACUAUUUAUAGUCAUUACUUUUUUAAAAUCUAGAAUAAAAAUUAAAAUUAUUUUAAAAAAAUUAUUACUUUAAGUAAUAAAAUUUAAAUUUAUUUUAAAAUCCGGAAUUUAUUAAAAAUAUUUUAUAUUAUUAUUUUUUGAAAUUAUAUAAAAAUGCAUAAAAUUACUAGAGAAAUAUAUGUUUAAAAUGAAUCUAAACAUAUGGUUGUCCAGAUUUGUUAGUAUCUAGGCAACCAUUUACUUAGAUUCAUUGUGCACUAAAAAUAAAAAAUAAUAAUAUCCUAAAAUUCAAUUAAAAAUAAAAAAUAUAAAGAAGAAAAUUUUAUAAAAUAAGGAGUUUAUUUUUCAAAAAAAAUUAUAUUAUUAUUUUUGAAAUUAUAAAAAAUAUAAAAUUACUAAAAAAACAUUAAGAGUGAAUUUGGAGAAAUGGUUAUCCAUGUUUAAAUGAAUCAAACAAUCAUUUAUUCAGAUUUAUUAUGUAUCUAAAAUAUAAAAAAAAUUAAUUUCCUAAUUCUUAAUCUUCAAAAUAAAAUAUUUUUAAAUUAUUUUUCCAUGUGUCAAUAUUGUUGUUUACCAAUACAAAAUUUAACCAUAUUAAUUAGGUACCAAUAAAAUGUACCAACUUAACUUACAAUCUCCAAUUUUAUAUAACAGUUAAAUCUAAAAAAAAUUAAAUAUCAAAUAAAUACAAAUUAUCAAAUUCAAAUAUAUUUGUAUAUAUUUACACUCAAAGUAUGAUCAACUACUGAGCAUGCAGAGACAUGGAAAAACUAUGAAAUUUAAUAAAAUUAAUUAAUUAAUCAAUGAUCAAUGGUGAUCUAAACUUAAUUUAAAAUUUUAAACAUUUUAAAAUAAAUUAUAUUAGUAGUGACUUAAUUAUAAUUUUCUUUUAUUUUAAUUAUUUAACUAUGAAAAAUUAUAAAAUAAUUAAUUAUUAGUUUUUUUUUAUCACUCAACUAUGAAAAAUUAUAAAAUUGUCACUCAACUAUUUAAAAUUGCAUCCAAUGUUUCCAAUUGUGUAUCAUGUUAUCCCAAGACCAAUUUCCAUUACAAAAAAGCCCAAUCUUUUUUUUUUGAAUCAGUUAAAAAAUAGAGAAAAUAAAAUAAAAUAAUUUAAAAAUAAAAAUAUAUAAAAUUUUUAGAAAUUAAAAAUUGCCAUAAAAUAUCUUUUGAUAGUUCAAUUAUGGAAGAAAGUUGGCUAUGCUUAAAUACAGAUGGCUCAGCGAGAUUGGAUGAAGGAUUUGCUGUAGCAAGAAGCUUAGUGCGGGAUCAAAAUGGUAGAUGGAUCGUGGGGUUUAGCAGAUACUUGGGGAACUGUAUAGUGACGAAGGCUAAACUUUGGAGCAUCCUGGAUGGGUUAAAGCUUAUCUUAGAUAGAAUAUCUGAAAGGAUCUUAAUUCAAACAGAUAGUCUCGAGGUUGCUAAUGCCAUUUAGGAAGGUGUCUUUAGUACCUCGAAAUCAACUUUACUCAGAAGAAUUCAUCAGAGCUUGACAAAGGUAAAAUAGUGGAAGAUCCAACAUAUCUCCCGAGAAGAGAACACAUUGGUAGGCAAUAUUGUUAAAAUGAUUUGUGAUAGAAAGCUAGGUUUAAGAUUAUUUGAAUACCAUCCUUUGAGGGUCUAGUUUUAUUUGUGUUUGUUUCUUGUAUUUUUCACAAAAAAAGAGAGAGAAUAAUUUGUAAGAAAAUACAAAAUUUUCAUGCUCAAUUUUACUAUAUCUUAAUUUUCUUUAUUCAAUAAUAUGUAUAUAUAUAGGGUCAGUGUUUGGUACAUUGGUAAUAUAUAUAUUUUUAUUUCAUAAGCAAUUUUAAAAAAUUGUGAUGUGUCUUUUUUUAAUUAAUUAUUUUUUAAUAUUUUAUUAUACUCUUAUAGAAUACUUGAUUGGGCUGACAUUUUCUUGGAAAAUUGAGAUGCUUGUCAACUCAUCCUUGAUCUCCAAUCUACCAACAAUCCAAACAUGUUUGAAUUGCCAAAUUUUGGCAACAAAAAUGUUUGAGCUAAGAUUUCCUUAGAAAAUUGAAAUGCUUGCCAGCCCGUCCUUGAUAUCCAAUCUACCUAUAGUGAAACUCUCGAAGAUUUAUAGAGAUUGGAUCAAAGCAAUUACCAUCCCUUAAACUAAGGAGAAGAUCAAACCAAGCCUAUUGUAAAAAAGAUAUCCUCAGUAGAUGUAUUAGGAUAACCAAGUUACAUAAACAUCUCUUGUACUGUUUACAUUUUUACAUUUUAUAUUUCUUAUGCUUGAAAUACUUAGAAUUAGUCAUAAUACUGCUUUUGGUAUAACUUGAUUUUUGCACUCAAACAUGAAUUUGGACCCAUAUAUAUAAUACAACUAAUAAAAUACAACUAAUUGCCAUGUUACAUGAUGAAUAUAUUAUCUACUCAAAUAUUAUUAGUUUUUUCCCUAACUUUUUAUUUUUUAUUUUUUGAAUUUUAUUUUGUAGAAAAAAAGAAAUUAAAAAAAAAGCAUUCAAGGUUAUUAAAAAGUACUGUUGAUAUUUAUAUAUCUAUAUUAUUUUGUGAUUUUUAUUUUUCUUUUUUGAAAAUUUCUUUUUAAUUUGCAUUUUUUUCUCUUUUAUGUAUUUUUUAAAAAAAUUAAAAAUUUAAUUUAUGUGAAUUUUAUAUAAUUUUUUGAAUAUUUUUUUUGAAAUUUUCCUGAGUUUUUCUAUUUUCUUUGAUUUUUUCCCAUUUUUUGUUUUUUUUUAAAUUUUAUUCCAAAACAUAAAAACUGAGUAACAUGACACGAUGAGAGCACCACACAUCAUCUUUUUUAUAACACUAUUAACGACUGGGGUAAAAUGCAUCACAAUUUGAAUUUUUAGGUACCAUACUGAUAUGAAAAAUUAUUUAGGUAUAAAAGUGAUAAUUGGGUGCAACUUUGGGGCAUAUAAGUAAUGUAUUAAUUGAGAAUAUGUAACAACCCAAUUUUCAGUGAUAUCAGAAAAAAGUGGUUUGAGACCACUAAAAUCUGACAAGUGAGCUUAUAAAUUAUUAUUUAGUAUUUAUGAGCCAAUCGUGAAUUUAGAAGGCUUAUGAAUUAGUGAUUUGUGCUUUAGAAAUAUUUAUCAAAUUAAUUAGUUUUGAAACUGAGGUAUCGAGAUAUCGAUUUCAUAAACUGAGCCGUAAAUAUUUUUAUAAAUAUUUACGGAGUGUCAUUGAGUUAGUAUUAAAGUUUCGUUAGGAAAUUUGAACGUUUUGAUAGUUAAUUAAUUAAAAAGAUAAAAAAAUACAUUCCCGAGACUCAGUUCUCGUAAAUCGGAUUCAUAAAUAUUUAUUAAAAAUAUUUACGAAUCUAGUUGUGUAGUUAAUUAGGUUUCAAUUAAGUGAAUUUGCUUGAAUUAAAAAGUAAUUAGGUAUAAGGACUAGAUUGGAUAUAGAGUAAAAGUUGAAUUAUAGAAUAGAGAAAAUUCAAGGGACUAAAUAAGCAAUUAAAUCAUAAAUUAACAUAUUUGUGGUCAAAAUAAUUUCCAUGUGUAUAAAUAAUAUACAUAUAUUAGUAAUUAUUAUAUAUUUUAAAUAUUAUUUUAUUAUUAUAUUAUAUGAAUUAAAUAAAGUAAAUAAAUUAAAUUAAAUUAUAACAAUUGUGGGGUAAUAAUAAUGUAAAUGUGUAUAAUUUUAUAUACAUACAUUUGUAAUACACAUAUAUUACUUAUUAUUUAAGAAAAUAUUAAAUUAUGAAAUUAUUAUUAUAAUUAAAAUAAAGAAACAAAAGAAUGAAAAAGGAAACAGAAUAGCAAAACGAAAACAGGGGAAAGAAAGGAGGAAAAGAAAGAAAGAAAAGAAAAAAAAGGGAAAUUAUAGUUUUAAAGGUUCCAAGUUUAAGUGGUAAGUCAAUUUAAUCCAUUUUCUUGUAAUUUUUGAUGUUUUUGGACUCUUAGAACAAAAUACUACUUGACAUAAGUGGAAAUUUUGAAAGUUUAGUUGAUUUUUAGAUGUGGUUUAUGUUGAAUUAAUUGAAGAAUUUGGGUUAAAAUUGAUAGAAUUUUUAGUUAGAAUUGAGAAAAGGAUUGAAUUGUAAGUUAAAUCAUAAGUUUUAUGUAGUAAGGACUAAAUUGAA
RNAcentral lists this long non-coding RNA (28565 nucleotides) under Gossypium barbadense (sea-island cotton). RNAcentral describes it as "long non-coding RNA (GBAR_LNC004608)". Lineage: Eukaryota; Viridiplantae; Streptophyta; Magnoliopsida; Malvales; Malvaceae. The record is from RNAcentral.